Molecule: ribosomal RNA, 253 nt
Filed under: uncultured bacterium
Lineage: Bacteria
Description: partial 16S ribosomal RNA
Rfam family: Bacterial small subunit ribosomal RNA
Source: RNAcentral
AACGUAGGACACAAGCGUUAUCCGGAGUUACUGGGCGUAAAGGGCGUGUAGGCGGAUCGGUAAGUCUACUCUGAAAGCUCCUGGCUAAACUGGGAGAGGCGAGUGGAGACUGUCGGUCUAGAGUGAGGAAGAGGAAAGUGGAAUUCCGCGUGUAGUGGUGAAAUGCGUAGAGAUGGGGGAGAACACUCGUGGCGAAGGCGGCCAGCUAGACCAGUUCUGACACUGAGGCGCGACAGCGUGGGGAGCAAACAGG